Molecule: transfer RNA, 77 nt
Filed under: Endozoicomonas sp. G2_1
Lineage: Bacteria; Pseudomonadati; Pseudomonadota; Gammaproteobacteria; Oceanospirillales; Endozoicomonadaceae
Description: tRNA-Arg
Rfam family: tRNA
About the family: Transfer RNA (tRNA) molecules are approximately 80 nucleotides in length. Their secondary structure includes four short double-helical elements and three loops (D, anti-codon, and T loops).
Source: RNAcentral
CCGCCCUUAGCUCAGCUGGAUAGAGCGCAGCCCUCCGGAGGCUGAGGCCGCAGGUUCGACUCCUGCAGGGCGGGCCA